UACGGAGGGGGUUAGCGUUGUUCGGAAUUACUGGGCGUAAAGCGCACGUAGGCGGAUUGGAAAGUUGGGGGUGGAAAUCCCCAGGGCUCAACCCUGGAACUGCCUCCAAAACUACCCAGUCUGGAGUUCGAGAGAGGUGAGUGGAAUACCGAGUGUAGAGGUGAAAUUCGUAGAUAUUCGGUGGAACACCAGUGGCGAAGGCGGCUAACUGGACUGAUACUGACGCUGAGGUGCGAAAGUGUGGGGAGCAAACAGGAUUAGAUACCCCCGUAGU
Molecule: ribosomal RNA, 274 nt
Filed under: uncultured bacterium
Lineage: Bacteria
Description: partial 16S ribosomal RNA
Rfam family: Bacterial small subunit ribosomal RNA
Source: RNAcentral